Molecule: long non-coding RNA, 1451 nt
Organism: Phragmites australis (common reed)
Lineage: Eukaryota; Viridiplantae; Streptophyta; Magnoliopsida; Poales; Poaceae
Exons: 7
Source: RefSeq, a predicted model, not a curated record
GGGCGAGGGGAGUAGAACUCUCUAGUGUGCGGUGUGCGAAGGGAGGAGUGGAAAUAUCUAGACCCCGGUAGCUACGACUCGUCACCAAUUCCGGUAGUCAAGCUCUCCACCACCACUGCAACUGAUUUCUCAGGCUUCAACAAAAUCAUUCAUCAAAUAUCCGCAGAUUGGAAGAUCCUUCGUAAGCUAUCUAAGCAGAUGAAUAUCACUCCACUUGCGCAACUUCGUACUGGGAUUCAGCAAUGCACCAUACAAGUUAUCAUCUUGAGAAUGUGGGAGUUUAGAGGGAAAAAGUGAAGAUGAAGCUAUCAAGCAUUUGGAUCUGGUAAUUCUUGAUGAGAAGGCAACACCUAUGUAUGUCGAAAUACCUCCAGAUGCAAUACCUACACUCAAACCACAUCUUCAUAAAGGAAAAAUAGUACUCAUCAGGAAAUUUAUGGUGCAACAUGCAAAGACAACAUACCGAGUUGUACAAACUCCACUCAUGAUCAAAUUAAAUAGAAAAACAGAGAUUGCAACACCGCAGCCACAACCACUGAACUAUCAAAAGUACACAUAUAAUUUUGUGGAUUUCUCGCAGCUCAAUAACUAUCUCAAUAUGACAAAUCAAUUCCUAGGCGUAUCCAAUGCUGCAAGUGUGAUGUCUUUUGGUAAAUUACAAACAAAGCGAUUAAUCAAUCUGAAAAAUCUAAGGAAGAUGAUGACAAAUCCUGGAAGCAUCAAAUAUGUACCUGGUUAUAAGAAGAAAGGGAAACAGCAAGGUGAGGCCUGAAGUUCUCAGCUGGACACCUCGGAUAAUUCUUCCAUAAUUUUCUUAGUUCAGAGGAGUGUGAUUACCUAAUGGCAAUUGCUAGACCAAGACUCCAUAUUUCUACUGUAGUGGAUGUUGCAAUGGGAAAGGUAUGUUGAUUCUAAUUCGUAGCAUUUGGUGUUCUCUCUGUCUUUCAGUAUUGACUAGCCAUUUUGUUCUUCAACGGGAAAUGUAGUGGAUGUUUCUUUAUCGUGUGUUCAACUUGUACACCUCUCCUUUUGAGUGUACAAAUAGGUACUAAUAGGAAACAUGACAACAAGAUCCCUACAUUUCUUAGAAUGACCUUGAAAUACUAGGAGUAUUUUACUUGUGAAAUUGGAGGUUUGCAUGGUUUCCUGUCAACACUCUUCCUGUUUGCUUCUUCAAGUUUUGGCCCAGAUAUGCCUCGUCUGCAUUUUUCCAGUUAUAUGUUACCAUGCUAUCUCUGAAGACAUCAAAUGCAGGUUCUUUACAUCUUGUUUUUAACAUGCUCUUCUAUAUAGAAGAUUUUUAUGUUUAUGAAAAGAUUAAUUAUUAUGCUGGAAGUAUUUUGAGCAAUUUGUGCCUUCAUUGGAUUUUUUUUUGUGUGGCUAUCAAUUUUUGAAAACCCCAGACACUAUUUUCUUGUCUUUUGUAUUUAUAAUGUCACUGUUUAUAUGUU